Molecule: long non-coding RNA, 1772 nt
Organism: Rosa rugosa (rugosa rose)
Lineage: Eukaryota; Viridiplantae; Streptophyta; Magnoliopsida; Rosales; Rosaceae
Exons: 6
Source: RefSeq, a predicted model, not a curated record
GACGACGGCCACCGUGCCCAGCCCUAUAAUCUGUCCCGCAAAAGGCCCAGCCCCCUCAGCCCGGCAAGAAGCAGUUCAUCAUCGAGCCCUUCAAAGGUUUGGCCUCGAUCCCAAAGCUCGCGUCUGUCACGCAGAGAAGUAUAUCAGGGUCGUCGCAGAGCCCUUAGAUCGCCACCAUCGCAGCUGCUACUGUCAGUCUCGUGAAAUUAGGAGCCAAAGCCAAGCGCCAAUCAGCCGCCGCUUCCUCCUCCGCGUCAAUUCGCUUUUCUUCUUCUUCUUCUUCUUCUCCAUUACGCUUCUCCCCUCUGACGACGUCGUUUACUGCUUCGUGCUUGAUCGACCAGCUCAGGGCCGUUUUCCCGGACAUGGAUAAUCAGCUGUUAAGGUAUAAAGUUGGACGGAUAGAGCAGCUGGAAACUUCUGAUCAACCAAAAGCCUGAGGUGCCAACGCUUAAAUCAACAUGUAAGUUUGCAUAAUGAUCUGAAGACAAAGUUUAUCGAAGGGGCCAAAGAACGUAAAGAACUCUACAACAAGGUGUUAGAGUUGAAAGGAAACAUAAGGGUCUUUUGCAGGUGUAGGCCUCUAAACACUGAGGAAGUUUCAGCAGGAGCUUCAAUGGCUAUUGACUUUGAAUCUAAGAAAGAAGGUGAGCUUGCUGUCAAGUCAAAUGGGGUUACAAGAAGGACCUUUAAGUUUGAUGCAGUUUUCGGCCCUCAAGCAGACCAAGGUACAUGCAUAUGAUGCAAGUCUUCUGUUGGUUAUCUACUGAAGUACAAAAAACACCUUUGAAUAACAGACAUCCUUUUUGUUUGUCAUAUUAGCUGAUGUCUUCGAAGACACAGCUCCAUUUGCAACCUCAGUUCUAGAUGGGUACAAUGUCUGCAUAUUUGCUUAUGGGCAGACUGAAAGUGGAAAAACCUUUACAAUGGAGGGAACGGAAGAAGCUCGGGGAGUCAAUUUUAGGACUCUUGAGCAACUGUUUCUUAUACUAAAAUAGCGAGAAAAGUUGCAUAGAUAUGAUGUAUCUGUUAGUGUUGUAGAAGUGUACAACGAGCAAAUACGAGAUCUACUUGUUCCAGGGAAUCAGCCGGGAGCAGCUGCCAAAAGGCUUGAAAUUAGACAAGCUGGAGAAGGGAGACAUCAUGUUCCAGGACUUGUUGAGGCAUGUGAAAAACAUGAAUGAAGUCUGGGAAGUUCUCCAAACUGACAGUAAUGCAAGGGCUGUUGGCUCAACCAAUGCCAAUGAGCAUAGUAGCUGUGACUUUGGAUUCAGAUAUUUUUACCAAGAAUUUUGUAUCCCAAUGCAAGUGAAGCAUCUUAGAAUGGUGGUUCUGCACUUUAGACCCGAAUAGAAACCAAAUUCUCACAGAGUGUUGAACCUGCAAUGGCAAUUGUGCCAAUUAUAGCCCAAUCACAGCUUGGGUUACAAGUUAGUCUACUUCCCUGUAUUACAAAGUCAAUUUGCUUGCUUUCUUAUCACUAUUCUUUAUAGCCUUUGAAUUAGUUUUUUGAAGCUUAGAAGUUGGUUUGCAUUCUAUUUUGAAAAUUGAUAUUGGAUAUGCAAUUCAUAAGUCUUUAAUAGGAUUUUUGUAGCUGUUAUACAGAAUGAUAGGAGGAGUACUGUUAUGUGAUAUUCCACAUAUAUGUUGAGCUCUAUCAAUGAAGUUGAUAAUUAACGGGGAUCACAUAUGUUUUUUUUGGGGUCUUAAAGAAUGCUGGACUUGGAGCAUCUUUUGCCAGCUCCCAUUGGUAUUGUUGACUGCAAGACACA